Molecule: ribosomal RNA, 428 nt
Filed under: uncultured bacterium
Lineage: Bacteria
Description: bacterial SSU rRNA
Rfam family: Bacterial small subunit ribosomal RNA
Source: RNAcentral
UGGGGAAUAUUGCACAAUGGGCGCAAGCCUGAUGCAGCCAUGCCGCGUGUAUGAAGAAGGCCUUCGGGUUGUAAAGUACUUUCAGCGGGGAGGAAGGGAGUAAAGUUAAUACCUUUGCUCAUUGACGUUACCCGCAGAAGAAGCACCGGCUAACUCCGUGCCAGCAGCCGCGGUAAUACGGAGGGUGCAAGCGUUAAUCGGAAUUACUGGGCGUAAAGCGCACGCAGGCGGUUUGUUAAGUCAGAUGUGAAAUCCCCGGGUUCAACCUGGGAACUGCAUCUGAUACUGGCAAGCUUGAGUCUCGUAGAGGGGGGUAGAAUUCCAGGUGUAGCGGUGAAAUGCGUAGAGAUCUGGAGGAAUACCGGUGGCGAAGGCGGCCCCCUGGACGAAGACUGACGCUCAGGUGCGAAAGCGUGGGGAGCAAACAG